This 432-nucleotide long non-coding RNA is filed under the name Mytilus galloprovincialis (Mediterranean mussel). Lineage: Eukaryota; Metazoa; Mollusca; Bivalvia; Mytilida; Mytilidae. The record is from RNAcentral.
AAAAAAUGAAUUCUUGGGGUUCUUUGAUAUGCUGAAUCUAAACAUGUACUUAGAUUUAUGAUUAUGGGCCCAGUUUUCAAGUUGGUCCAAAUCAGGGUCCAAAAUUAAACUUUGUUUGAUUUCAUCAAAAUUGAAAAUAUUGGGUUCUUCAAUAUGCUGAAUCUUACCAUGUAUUUAGAUUUUUAAUAUGUGGGCCCUGUUAUUGAAUUGGUCCACAUUGAGGUCUAAAGGGUCUACAAUUGAACAUUAUUUGAUUUCAUCAAAAAUUGAAUUCUUGGGGUUCUAUGAUAUACUGAAAAUAACCAUGUAUUUAGAUUUUGGAUAUUGGACCAUAAUAGGUAAAUAUCCAAUUUAAAAUGUUUAGGUUUUUGUCGAGCCUGCAACUUUUGUUGCAGAAAGCUCGACAUAGGGAUAGUGAUCCAGCGGCGGCGG